Molecule: long non-coding RNA, 373 nt
Filed under: Vigna radiata
Lineage: Eukaryota; Viridiplantae; Streptophyta; Magnoliopsida; Fabales; Fabaceae
Description: long non-coding RNA (VRAD_LNC012547)
Source: RNAcentral
UAGGGGUGUACUGCUAUGCUCUCUUCUACCAGGGAUGCAAAACCUAGAGCCCUAGGUCCUUUAAAUAGUGUCAGACGCGUCCCAAAGUGCGGCCCUGUCCAAAAGAAGUAAAUCAAAGCAGAAUAAGGGCCCGAUCCACAUGAAAUCAUGCUCAAGCGUCGUAGGGAGCUCGCCCAAGCGUGAAUUGAGGCUCAUGUGAGUCUUGGGCGCCAGUUUUGGUCGCCUAGGUUUCGGGCGUCCGUUGCCCGGGAGUCGGGGCCGUUGCCCACGCAACUAGCGAUGAUGUUGCUCCGCGCUGUUUUUUCUUCCUUUCACCUGGGCUUCGGGUUUCCCGCCUUCUUGGUGCCUUUUUGACCCCUUUUGAGCUCCACCC